This 497-nucleotide ribosomal RNA is filed under the name uncultured bacterium. RNAcentral's name for it is "partial 16S ribosomal RNA". It matches the Rfam family "Bacterial small subunit ribosomal RNA", at positions 28 to 507 of the family's 1533-position model. The record is from RNAcentral.
GAUGAACGCUGGCGGCGUGCCUAAUACAUGCAAGUCGAGCGAACAGACGAGGAGCUUGCUCCUCUGACGUUAGCGGCGGACGGGUGAGUAACACGUGGAUAACCUACCUAUAAGACUGGGAUAACUUCGGGAAACCGGAGCUAAUACCGGAUAAUAUAUUGAACCGCAUGGUUCAAUAGUGAAAGACGGUUUUGCUGUCACUUAUAGAUGGAUCCGCGCCGCAUUAGCUAGUUGGGAAGGUAACGGCUUACCAAGGCAACGAUGCGUAGCCGACCUGAGAGGGUGAUCGGCCACACUGGAACUGAGACACGGUCCAGACUCCGACGGGAGGCAGCAGUAGGGAAUCUUCCGCAAUGGGCGAAAGCUUGACGGAGCAACGCCGCGUGAGUGAUGAAGGUCUUCGGAUCGUAAAACUCUGUUAUUAGGGAAGAACAAAUGUGCAAGUAACUAUGCACGUCUUGACGGUACCUAAUCAGAAAGCCACGGCUAACUACGUG